RNAcentral lists this unclassified non-coding RNA (971 nucleotides) under Hevea brasiliensis (rubber tree). Lineage: Eukaryota; Viridiplantae; Streptophyta; Magnoliopsida; Malpighiales; Euphorbiaceae. The record is from RNAcentral.
CUGCCAAACCAUUCAUAAUUUAAAGAAAUUUUACAUAAUUUAAUUCUGAACCGUUCAUAAAUUAAAGCAAUUUUAAUUAAAUUACAUAUUUAUUUAUAAUUAUAUAAAUAUAUUUAUGAAUUAUGUAGUUGAUCAAGUUUGUUUAAGAAUUUUUGGACAGAACUCCAAGUAGAUCCGCCCCUGCUUAUCUCCAAGAUAAUCUCGUAGAACUUGCUCUGAUCACAUAGAGACUUGGACACACUCUCCUUUUGCAAGCAUCUGUUAGCCCAGUCUACGAUCUUAGGGCACUCCUCUGCCAUGCUCAACUUUCCCAACGUCUCGUAUGUGUAGAAGGAGCUAUAGCAUGGAAUGAGUGAUAAAUCAACGUAACCGAAACUUUCACCUCCUAAGUAUGGCUUGUCUCCAAGCUCUUCCUCCAAUAUUUUAAAGCACUCAAUUAGCUCCUUCUUCGAAGCUCCAAUACCGAAAAUCUGUGGAACCCAUUGCAAGGAAAGUAUGAUAAAGCUUAUGGUAGUUUCAAGCAUAUGUCAAAAUAACUUCAUAAAUCUACCAAUCUCAAAGAAUUUAUUGAAAAAGAAAAUGAAUUUAAUUAGUGGGCUUAAUCUAACAAUUAACUCACCUUCUUGUCGACAGAGUCAGGCCAGAACUUGGCCUGAGCUCGUUGGUAAGAAUCAGAGGGCAACAAUGGAGACUUGUGGUUCCAAACCUCAUCAAUGUAUUGUACUAUUACCAUUGAGUCGCAAAUGGGUCUGCCAUUAUGGAUCAAGACUGGGAUUUGCUUGUUAACUGGGUUCAUCUUCAAAAGAAGAGGGCUCUUGUUGGUCAAAUCCUCUGGUCUGGACACAUACUUUAAUCCCUUUUCAGCCAAGGCUAUCCUCACCCUUGCUGCGAAAGGACUAGGAUACCACUCCAAUAGAAUUAGUUGGUCAUCCUCGGCCAUUAUUGCAAAAGAUUGAGAAGAAAAUUGAGUA